CAGGUUUUGGUACCGUAGAUCCACUUUUACUUUCUAUCUGGUAGAUCUGAUUGCUUUGGUAGUGCGUAUUAUGUAGACGUCGAACAAUGGGUAGAGGACUUUCUGUUUCUUGACAUGGAACGGUUUGAUCCUGAGCUGCUGUCUCCUAGUUUUUCUGGACUCAGCACUUACGAAUUGCGAGUGCUGAUUCAACAAAUUUUCUGUAAUGUAUUAUGAUUGGGGUUUGCAAUUGGACUGGAAAUGCCUUAAGCAUAGAUCAUUGUGCAUGAGGGUUGGUUUUGUUUUUGUAGGCUGCAGCAUUUGAAUUGAAUGAGUAAUCAGGCUUUUUGUAGAUUGAGCUUGGUAAUAGUGCUCUUUUAGUAGGGUUUCUUUUAUUGUGUAGUAUAAUUUGGUCUACCUGUAUUUGACAGAUGUGCUAUUUACUACCCAAUAUUGAAGUGAGACUUUGAAAUUUCUAUUGUGAAUUAUAUAUGAGAUCCAUAGAAUCUGCAAAGAAAAUUGAAAUUGUUAUUUUAAUUAGAUCCAAAAAAAUGUCUAAUAUUAGGGGAAAUGGUGUCAGAAGGGACGAUGGCAUAAAGGUUCAGGCCAGGUUCUAUAACAAAUUGUGAAUGUUAUCUUAUUUACUAAUAAGAAGGCAAGGCAGAGUAAAGCUUGGCCAAGGGCAUCUAUUUAUAUAAAAGCUUGAAUGGUGUGUAAAAAUCAUAAAUUUGUUUAUCUUAGUGCAUUCACAUAGCUUGCUGUGUUACUUAUGCUAAUAUUUCUGCUUCUAUGCACUCUUUCUGUUAUAAUGCUUUGUGGUAUAGCUGACCCCAACCAAGUGCUUUCAAGUACUUACAGUUGCUUAGGUAAUUAAGUAAAGAAGCUUAAUCCUCUGUCAAAGCAUUACUGGUGACUGUUGAUUUUCUGUAUUUCAUUCUUCCACUUCCUGUCAUUUGGCCCAGAUACCAGAUAUUCCUAUGGUUGUUAA
Molecule: long non-coding RNA, 967 nt
Filed under: Musa acuminata (dwarf banana)
Lineage: Eukaryota; Viridiplantae; Streptophyta; Magnoliopsida; Zingiberales; Musaceae
Description: long non-coding RNA (MACU_LNC005066)
Source: RNAcentral